CAGUCGCCGCGGGAAUACGAAGGGGGCUAGCGUUGCUCGGAAUGACUGGGCGUAAAGGGCGCGUAGGCGGCGAUCAAAGUCAGGCGUGAAAUUCCUGGGCUCAACCUGGGGGCUGCGCUUGAUACUUGGUUGCUUGAGUGGGGAAGAGGGUCGUGGAAUUCCCAGUGUAGAGGUGAAAUUCGCAGAUAUUGGGAAGAACACCGGUGGCGAAGGCGGCGACCUGGUCCUUGACUGACGCUGAGGCGCGAAAGCGUGGGGAGCAAACAGGAUUAGAUACCCCUGUAGUCCCUGUCUCUUAUAC
Molecule: ribosomal RNA, 301 nt
Filed under: uncultured bacterium
Lineage: Bacteria
Description: partial 16S ribosomal RNA
Rfam family: Bacterial small subunit ribosomal RNA
Source: RNAcentral